This 598-nucleotide ribosomal RNA is filed under the name Oenococcus oeni. Its description in RNAcentral is "bacterial LSU rRNA". It matches the Rfam family "Bacterial large subunit ribosomal RNA", at positions 167 to 765 of the family's 2925-position model. The record is from RNAcentral. Lineage: Bacteria; Bacillati; Bacillota; Bacilli; Lactobacillales; Lactobacillaceae.
AGAUUAGAUGAAGCAAACGCUGUGAACUGAAACAUCUAAGUAGCAGUAGGAAAGUAAAGAAAUUUCGAUUCCGUCAGUAGCGGCGAGCGAACGCGGAAGAGCCCAAACCUGGAUGCUUGCAUCCAGGGGUUGUAGGACUGAUGUUGAGUUACAAAGGUAUAAGAUAGCAGAAACAGUUGGGAAGCUGUUCCAAAGAGGGUGACAGGCCCGUAUGCGAAAUCUUGUACUCUCUAAUCAGGAUCCUGAGUACGGCCCAGCACGUGAAAUUGGGUCGGAAUCUGGGAGGACCAUCUCCCAAGGCUAAAUACUAACUAGUGACCGAUAGCGAACAAGUACCGUGAGGGAAAGGUGAAAAGAACCCCGGAAGGGGAGUGAAAUAGUUCUUGAAACCGUGUGCUUACAAGAAGUUCGAGGCCGUUAAUGGCUGAGAGCGUGCUUUUUGUAGAAUGAACCGGAGAGUUACGAUUGCGUGCAAGGUUAAGGUGCAAAGACUGGAGCCGUAGCGAAAGCGAGUCUUAAUAGGGCGAAUCAGUACGUAGUUGUAGACCCGAAACCGAGUGACCUAUCCAUGGUCAGGUUGAAGGUGGGGUAAUACCUA